This 402-nucleotide ribosomal RNA is filed under the name uncultured bacterium. RNAcentral's name for it is "bacterial SSU rRNA". It matches the Rfam family "Bacterial small subunit ribosomal RNA", at positions 108 to 507 of the family's 1533-position model. The record is from RNAcentral.
ACGGAAUACGUGGGAAUCUGCCCAGUCGUGGGGGAUAACGUAGGGAAACUUACGCUAAUACCGCAUGCGCCCUUCGGGGAAAGCCGGGGACCUUCGGGCCUGGCGCGAUUGGAUGAGCCCACGUCGGAUUAGCUAGUUGGCGGGUAAAGGCCCACCAAGGCGACGAUCCGUAGCUGGUCUGAGAGGAUGAUCAGCCACACUGGAACCUGAGACACGGUCCAGACUCCUACGGGAGGCAGCAGUAGGGAAUAUUGGACAAUGGGCGCAAGCCUGAUCCAGCCAUGCCGCGUGAGUGAAGAAGGCCCUCGGGUUGUAAAGCUCUUUUGUCCGGAAAGAAAAGCGCCGGGUUAAUACCCUGGUGUCCUGACGGUACCGGAAGAAUAAGCACCGGCUAACUUCGUG